This 1032-nucleotide ribosomal RNA is filed under the name Triticum aestivum (bread wheat). RNAcentral describes it as "partial small subunit ribosomal RNA". The record is from RNAcentral. Lineage: Eukaryota; Viridiplantae; Streptophyta; Magnoliopsida; Poales; Poaceae.
AUGGGGGCGUCGGACAACACCAAGGGGCUGGCGCUCGCGGUCGCCUCCAGCGCCUUCAUCGGCGCCAGCUUCAUCCUCAAGAAGAUCGGCCUCAUGCGCGCNNNNNNNNNNNNNNNNNNNNCAGGCGGAGGAGGAUACACGUAUCUUCUGGAGCCUCUCUGGUGGGCUGGCUUGAUCACCAUGCUGCUUGGGGAGGUCGCCAACUUUGUCGCCUAUGUCUUCGCACCAGCUGUCCUCGUGACUCCUCUUGGAGCACUGAGCAUAAUCGUCAGUUCAGUGUUAGCGCACUUUGUGCUGAAGGAGCGGCUUAACAAGCUCGGCGUUCUUGGUUGUAUAUCGUGCAUAGUAGGUUCAGUUGUUGUCGUUCUACAUGCCCCUGAAGAGCACAUGCCCGAUUCCGUUGAAGAAAUCUGGGAUCUAGCUACUCAACCAGGAUUUCUAGCAUAUGCGGGAACAACAUUGUUACUCAUGGCAAUAGUAGUAGUGUUCAUCGAACCUCGAUAUGGUCAGAAGAACAUACUGAUAUAUCUGGGUAUCUGCUCUUCAAUGGGAUCAUUAACUGUUGUUAGCAUCAAAGCCGUUGGUGUUGCCAUAAAGCUUACGCUGGAUGGAAUGAACCAGCUUGCCUAUCCGCACACAUGGCUUUUUAUUCUGGUCGCAGUUAUCUGUGGUGUUUCUCAGCUAAAUUACCUCAACAAGGCACUGGAUACCUUUGAUUUAGCUAUGGUUUCCCCAGUUUAUUAUGUAAUGUUUACCAUCCUUACAAUAGUGGCGAGUUCAAUUAUGUUCAAGGACGGGGCUGGACAAAGCUUAAGUAGUAUUGCUUCUGAAUGCUGCGGCCUGGUAACAAUCCUUUCUGGAACAAUUUUGCUGCACGCAGCAAAACAAAAAGAAGUUGCCAGUUCUCCAGCAUCCACUUGGCCUUUGGAUAGAGGGAUAUCUUGGUAUAUCAGUGUAGGCAGCGACAAUCUUCUGAGGAACGUCGAAGACGACUACUUCGCCGCUCCACAAAUUUCGCCAACCACACCCUGA